RNAcentral lists this ribosomal RNA (260 nucleotides) under uncultured bacterium. RNAcentral describes it as "partial 16S ribosomal RNA". It matches the Rfam family "Bacterial small subunit ribosomal RNA", at positions 334 to 591 of the family's 1533-position model. The record is from RNAcentral.
UGUGCCUACGGGAGGCAGCAGUGAGGAAUAUUGGUCAAUGGUCGGGAGACUGAACCAGCCAAGCCGCGUGAGGGAUGAAGGUACAGAGUAUCGUAAACCUCUUUUGUCAGGGAACAAAGGCGGGGACGUGUCCCCGGAUGAGUGUACCUGAAGAAAAAGCAUCGGCUAACUCCGUGCCAGCAGCCGCGGUAAUACGGAGGAUGCGAGCGUUAUCCGGAUUCAUUGGGCGUAAAGCGCGCGCAGGCGGGUUGGUAAGCGGG